RNAcentral lists this unclassified non-coding RNA (318 nucleotides) under air metagenome. Its description in RNAcentral is "partial contains small subunit ribosomal RNA, internal transcribed spacer 1, and 5.8S ribosomal RNA". The stretch from base 1 to 46 matches the Rfam family "Eukaryotic small subunit ribosomal RNA", at positions 1786 to 1831 of the family's 1831-position model. The record is from RNAcentral.
AAGUCGUAACAAGGUUUCCGUAGGUGAACCUGCGGAAGGAUCAUUAUUGAAUAAGUUUGGUUGGGUUGUUGCUGGCUUUUCGGGGCAUGUGCACGCCUAACACCAAUCUUUUUUUAAACCACCUGUGCACCUUUUGUAGACCUGGAUAUCUCUCGAGGAAACUCGGUAAGAGGACUGCUGUGCGUCAAAGCCGGCUUUCCUUACAUUUCCGGUCUAUGUCUUUAUAUACACCAUUAGUAUGUCUAUGAAUGUUUAUUUAUCGGACUUGAUUGUCCAAUAAACCUUAUACAACUUUCAACAACGGAUCUCUUGGCUCUC